Molecule: ribosomal RNA, 850 nt
Filed under: uncultured bacterium
Lineage: Bacteria
Description: bacterial SSU rRNA
Rfam family: Bacterial small subunit ribosomal RNA
Source: RNAcentral
GGCUCAGAUUGAACGCCGGCGGCAUGCCUUACACAUGCAAGUCGAACGGUAACGCGGGGCAACCUGGCGACGAGUGGCGAACGGGUGAGUAAUGCAUCGGAACGUGCCCAGUAGUGGGGGAUAGCCCGGCGAAAGCCGGAUUAAUACCGCAUACGACCUACGGGUGAAAGGGGGGGAUCGCAAGACCUCUCGCUAUUGGAGCGGCCGAUGUCAGAUUAGGUAGUUGGUGGGGUAAAGGCCUACCAAGCCGACGAUCUGUAGCUGGUCUGAGAGGACGACCAGCCACACUGGGUCUGAGACACGGCCCAGACUCCUACGGGAGGCAGCAGUGGGGAAUUUUGGACAAUGGGCGCAAGCCUGAUCCAGCCAUACCGCGUGCGGGAAGAAGGCCUUCGGGUUGUAAACCGCUUUUGUCAGGGAGGAAAAGCUCUGAGCUAAUACCUCGGGGUAAUGACGGUACCUGAAGAAUAAGCACCGGCUAACUACGUGCCAGCAGCCGCGGUAAUACGUAGGGUGCAAGCGUUAAUCGGAAUUACUGGGCGUAAAGCGUGCGCAGGCGGUUGUGCAAGACAGAUGUGAAAUCCCCGGGCUUAACCUGGGAACUGCAUUUGUGACUGCACGGCUAGAGUGCGGCAGAGGGGGAUGGAAUUCCGCGUGUAGCAGUGAAAUGCGUAGAUAUGCGGAGGAACACCGAUGGCGAAGGCAAUCCCCUGGGCCUGCACUGACGCUCAUGCACGAAAGCGUGGGGAGCAAACAGGAUUAGAUACCCUGGUAGUCCACGCCCUAAACGAUGUCAACUGGUUGUUGGGAGGGUUUCUUCUCAGUAACGUAGCUAACGCGUGAAGUUGAC